UCGAGAAAAGUUUGAAAUUACAGUUAGAACACAUAAUCUUGUAAAGGGAGCGGAGUCUUUACUUCAACUUAUAACUGAAAUUAAAAAUAUGAUUACUUUUCAAAAUUUUCAAGAAUUAAACAUGUUAGUCAAUGAGAGGCAGAAAAAGUUAGUAGAAGCAAAGAAGACCACGGAGGUAGUUUUACAGCAGAUGCUUGAGGACAUGAGCUCG
Molecule: long non-coding RNA, 211 nt
Organism: Zophobas morio
Lineage: Eukaryota; Metazoa; Arthropoda; Insecta; Coleoptera; Tenebrionidae
Exons: 3
Source: RefSeq, a predicted model, not a curated record